RNAcentral lists this ribosomal RNA (254 nucleotides) under uncultured bacterium. Its description in RNAcentral is "partial 16S ribosomal RNA". It matches the Rfam family "Bacterial small subunit ribosomal RNA", at positions 524 to 776 of the family's 1533-position model. The record is from RNAcentral.
UGCGUAGGGUGCGAGCGUUAAUCGGAAUUACUGGGCGUAAAGCGUGCGCAGGCGGUUAUUUAAGUCAGGUGUGAAAGCCCUGGGCUUAACCUAGGAAUUGCGCUUGAGACUGGAUAGCUUGGAGUGCGGCAGAGGGAGGUGGAAUUCCACGUGUAGCAGUGAAAUGCGUAGAUAUGUGGAGGAAUACCGAUGGCGAAGGCAGCCCCCUGGGAUAACACUGACGCUCAUGCACGAAAGCGUGGGGAGCAAACAGG